Molecule: transfer RNA, 59 nt
Filed under: Cautires sp. UPOL 000224
Lineage: Eukaryota; Metazoa; Arthropoda; Insecta; Coleoptera; Lycidae
Also listed under: 1 other name
Description: tRNA-Leu
Source: RNAcentral
UGUGACAGAAUAGUGUGAUAAAUUUAAGAUUUAUUUAUAAAGAUUAUCUUUCUUUAGAA